GUGGCUCAGUUUUAGAGCGCUUGCCUUACAUGCAUGAAGCCCUGGGUUCAAUUCCUCAGC
RNAcentral lists this transfer RNA (60 nucleotides) under Dipodomys ordii (Ord's kangaroo rat). It matches the Rfam family "tRNA", at positions 7 to 64 of the family's 71-position model. From Rfam's summary of the family: Transfer RNA (tRNA) molecules are approximately 80 nucleotides in length. Lineage: Eukaryota; Metazoa; Chordata; Mammalia; Rodentia; Heteromyidae. The record is from Rfam by way of RNAcentral.